Molecule: ribosomal RNA, 429 nt
Filed under: Bacteroidota bacterium
Lineage: Bacteria; Pseudomonadati; Bacteroidota
Description: Bacteroidetes bacterium partial 16S ribosomal RNA
Rfam family: Bacterial small subunit ribosomal RNA
Source: RNAcentral
UAGGGAAUCUUCGGCAAUGGGGGGAACCCUGACCGAGCAACGCCGCGUGAGUGAAGAAGGUUUUCGGAUCGUAAAGCUCUGUUGUUAAGGAAGAACGAGUGUGAGAAUGGAAAGUUCAUGCUGUGACGGUACUUAACCAGAAAGGGACGGCUAACUACGUGCCAGCAGCCGCGGUAAUACGUAGGUCCCGAGCGUUUUCCGGAUUUAUUGGGCGUAAAGCGAGCGCAGGCGGUUAGAAAAGUCUGAAGUGAAAGGCAGUGGCUCAACCAUUGUAUGCUUUGGAAACUGUUUAACUUGAGUGCAGAAGGGGAGAGUGGAAUUCCAUGUGUAGCGGUGAAAUGCGUAGAUAUAUGGAGGAACACCGGUGGCGAAAGCGGCUCUCUGGUCUGUAACUGACGCAGAGGCUCGAAAGCGUGGGGAGCGAACAGG